RNAcentral lists this ribosomal RNA (1108 nucleotides) under Campylobacter gracilis. RNAcentral describes it as "bacterial SSU rRNA". It matches the Rfam family "Bacterial small subunit ribosomal RNA", at positions 366 to 1496 of the family's 1533-position model. Lineage: Bacteria; Pseudomonadati; Campylobacterota; Epsilonproteobacteria; Campylobacterales; Campylobacteraceae. The record is from RNAcentral.
GCGCAAUGGGGGAACCUGACGCAGCAACGCCGCGUGGAGGAUGACACUUUUCGGAGCGUAAACUCCUUUUGUUAGGGAAGAAUAAUGACGGUACCUAACGAAUAAGCACCGGCUAACUCCGUGCCAGCAGCCGCGGUAAUACGGAGGGUGCAAGCGUUACUCGGAAUCACUGGGCGUAAAGGACGCGUAGGCGGAUUAUCAAGUCUCUUGUGAAAUCUAACGGCUCAACCGUUAAACUGCUUGGGAAACUGAUAAUCUAGAGUAAGGGAGAGGCAGAUGGAAUUCUUGGUGUAGGGGUAAAAUCCGUAGAUAUCAAGAAGAAUACCUAUUGCGAAGGCGAUCUGCUGGAACUUAACUGACGCUAAUGCGUGAAAGCGUGGGGAGCAAACAGGAUUAGAUACCCUGGUAGUCCACGCCCUAAACGAUGUAUACCGGUUGUUGCUGUGCUAGUCACGGCAGUAAUCCACCUAACGGAUUAAGUAUACCGCCUGGGGAGUACGGUCGCAAGAUUAAAACUCAAAGGAAUAGACGGGGACCCGCACAAGCGGUGGAGCAUGUGGUUUAAUUCGAAGAUACGCGAAGAACCUUACCCGGACUUGAUAUCUAACAAAUCAUCCAGAGAUGGAAGAGUGUCUGCUUGCAGAAAUGUUAAGACAGGUGCUGCACGGCUGUCGUCAGCUCGUGUCGUGAGAUGUUGGGUUAAGUCCCGCAACGAGCGCAACCCACGUCAUUAGUUGCUAACGGUUCGGCCGAGCACUCUAAUGAGACUGCCUUCGUAAGGAGGAGGAAGGUGUGGACGACGUCAAGUCAUCAUGGCCCUUAUGUCCGGGGCGACACACGUGCUACAAUGGCAUAUACAAUAAGACGCAAUAUCGCGAGAUGGAGCAAAUCUAAAAAAUAUGUCCCAGUUCGGAUUGGAGUCUGCAACUCGACUCCAUGAAGCCGGAAUCGCUAGUAAUCGUAGAUCAGCCAUGCUACGGUGAAUACGUUCCCGGGUCUUGUACUCACCGCCCGUCACACCAUGGGAGUUGAUUUCACUCGAAGCGGGAAUGCGAAAUUCGCUACCCUCCACAGUGGAAUCAGCGACUGGGGUGAAGUCGUAACAAGG